Nicotiana tabacum (common tobacco) is the source of this 709-nucleotide long non-coding RNA. RefSeq lists it as uncharacterized. The record is from RefSeq and is a predicted model, not a curated record. NCBI's taxonomy places the organism in Eukaryota, Viridiplantae, Streptophyta, Magnoliopsida, Solanales, Solanaceae.
CAUCUCAAAGACCUAAUCCACUGCCCUGUCUACUCACCGGUGGAGCCCCCUCAAACCGGCUUCAAAACCACACCCUUGAACCCUCUCACUCUCCUCUCUCUAAAUCUCAACACGGCUCUCCUCGAAUCCAUCUCAAUCUCUUCAAAUCUUGAAUCAAAACCCGGAAUCCUAAUUCCUUCCUCACCUCUGUCUCGUCCUUUAAAGGUCUGGUUUGAUUAUUCUCCAAGCUUGAAGGAUUUUUGACUUAAAACAUGUGUUAGGCGGGCUGUUCUCACAAGAACAACCUGAAUAACACUCGUUUUGGGUUCAAAUUGAAACAGCUAAAUAAUCUGUGCGAACCCAUCGUCCAUUCGUCCCUUCAGGUAUCUCCCAUUCUCGGACAUGUAAAAUGGAAGAACAAGAGUUUUAUUUGAUUAAGUGGCAAACUAUGUCAUACUAGCUUGUAAAUGUAGUUUCUUUUACUUCUAAAAAUCAAUCAGAUUUCAUAAUUAGCUUGGUCUCUUAUCACAUAUGUCUCUUCCUGGUUCAUUUUGAGUUUGUUUGUAGCUUUGGAGGAAAUUCUGAGUUUUAACCAAUUAGGAUAGAUGAGCUCAAGUUCUGUGUUUGUAUAAAUGGGUUGUAAGGCUAUUGUAACGAACUCGUGUGAUGUUUGUAGGUUUGGGGGGUAUUUGUUCAGUUUCUGCUACGACCAGUGCUAUUUUAGCAUUAA